GACAGAGGGUGCAAACGUUGUUCGGAAUUAUUGGGCGUAAAGCGCUCGUAGGCGGAUCGGUAAGUCUGUGAAGAAAGACCCGGGCUCAACUCGGGGAACGGCAUAGAUACUGCUGAUCUUGAGACAGUCAGAGGAUGAUGGAAUUCCAGGUGUAGCGGUGAAAUGCGUAGAUAUCGGGAGGAACACCAGUGGCGAAGGCGGCGACCUGGACGGACACUGACGCUGAGACGCGAAAGCGUGGGGAGCAAACAGG
RNAcentral lists this ribosomal RNA (253 nucleotides) under uncultured bacterium. Its description in RNAcentral is "partial 16S ribosomal RNA". It matches the Rfam family "Bacterial small subunit ribosomal RNA", at positions 524 to 776 of the family's 1533-position model. The record is from RNAcentral.